RNAcentral lists this ribosomal RNA (433 nucleotides) under uncultured bacterium. RNAcentral describes it as "partial 16S ribosomal RNA". It matches the Rfam family "Bacterial small subunit ribosomal RNA", at positions 29 to 507 of the family's 1533-position model. The record is from RNAcentral.
AGCGAACGCUGGCGGCAGGCCUAACACAUGCAAGUCGAACGAACUCUUCGGAGUUAGUGGCGGACGGGUGAGUAACACGUGGGAACGUGCCUUUUGGUUCGGAAUAACUCAGGGAAACUUGUGCUAAUACCGAAUGUGCCCUUCGGGGGAAAGAUUUAUCGCCAUUAGAGCGGCCCGCGUCUGAUUAGCUAGUUGGUGAGGUAACGGCUCACUAAGGCGACGAUCAGUAGCUGGUCUGAGAGGAUGACCAGCCACACUGGGACUGAGACACGGCCCAGACUCCUACGGGAGGCAGCAGUGGGGAAUCUUGCGCAAUGGGCGAAAGCCUGACGCAGCCAUGCCGCGUGAAUGAUGAAGGUCUUAGGAUUGUAAAAUUCUUUCACCGGGGACGAUAAUGACGGUACCCGGAGAAGAAGCCCCGGCUAACUUCGUG